GACGAACGCUGGCGGCGUGCUUAACACAUGCAAGUCGAACGGAAAGGCCCUUCGGGGUACUCGAGUGGCGAACGGGUGAGUAACACGUGGGUGAUCUGCCCUGCACUUUGGGAUAAGCCUGGGAAACUGGGUCUAAUACCGAAUAGGACCACGCGUUUCAUGGCGUGGUGUGGAAAGCUUUUGCGGUGUGGGAUGGGCCCGCGGCCUAUCAGCUUGUUGGUGGGGUAAUGGCCUACCAAGGCGACGACGGGUAGCCGGCCUGAGAGGGUGACCGGCCACACUGGGACUGGGAUACGGCCCAGACUCCUACGGGAGGCAGCAGUGGGGAAUAUUGCACAAUGGGCGCAAGCCUGAUGCAGCGACGCCGCGUGAGGGAUGACGGCCUUCGGGUUGUAAACCUCUUUCGCCGGGGACGAAGCGCAAGUGACGGUACCUGGAGAAGAAGGACCGGCCAACUACGUGCCAGCCGCCGCGGUAA
RNAcentral lists this ribosomal RNA (478 nucleotides) under uncultured bacterium. RNAcentral's name for it is "partial 16S ribosomal RNA". It matches the Rfam family "Bacterial small subunit ribosomal RNA", at positions 28 to 523 of the family's 1533-position model. The record is from RNAcentral.